This is a long non-coding RNA of Microplitis mediator, 372 nucleotides long. RefSeq lists it as uncharacterized. NCBI's taxonomy places the organism in Eukaryota, Metazoa, Arthropoda, Insecta, Hymenoptera, Braconidae. The transcript has 4 exons. The record is from RefSeq and is a predicted model, not a curated record.
UGUACUUCAUUAUUUUAAAAUUAAUUGUUGUCAGUAAAAUAAAUUACCCGACUCCCAGUUCUCUCUUUCUGUGUUUUUUACUUAUUUAUAAGAUGAAGGCAACAAUUUAGCUGGCACGUUACUGAGUACCCUUAAUGUGGAGAUGAGAUGUACAAAGCAACUAGACGAAAUGUAUGUGGAAACUGUAUAGCAAAAGAUGAAAAGCCCGAUGAUAUCACAAAGUCUUUUAUAUGCGGAUCGCUGCUGGUCCCUUCAAGUCGCAAUUUUGCGAUAAAAAUCGCAAGAAAACUCAUUGAAAGCGGUAUAGAAGGUGCAUUAAAUUUACAUCACUGGUAUACUAACGUCGUAUUCAUAUAUGGAACUUGUGAAUUC